GGUAUGUUUAGUGUUCAAGAGCAAGCAUAGCUAUUGCACACUAAUGUACCCU
Molecule: microRNA precursor, 52 nt
Filed under: Ciona intestinalis (vase tunicate)
Lineage: Eukaryota; Metazoa; Chordata; Ascidiacea; Phlebobranchia; Cionidae
Description: microRNA cin-mir-4009b precursor
Source: miRBase by way of RNAcentral